CAGUCGCCGCGGGAAUACGGAGGGUGCAAGCGUUAAUCGGAAUUACUGGGCGUAAAGCGUGCGUAGGCGGUGAGUUAAGUCUGCUGUGAAAUCCCCGGGCUCAACCUGGGAAUGGCAGUGGAUACUGGCUCGCUAGAGUGUGUCAGAGGAUGGUGGAAUUCCCGGUGUAGCGGUGAAAUGCGUGGAGAUCGGGAGGAACAUCAGUGGCGAAGGCGGCCAUCUGGGACAACACUGACGCUGAGGCACGAAAACGUGGGGAGCAAACAGGAUUAGAUACCCGCGUAGUCCCUGUCUCUUAUAC
RNAcentral lists this ribosomal RNA (301 nucleotides) under uncultured bacterium. Its description in RNAcentral is "partial 16S ribosomal RNA". It matches the Rfam family "Bacterial small subunit ribosomal RNA", at positions 509 to 807 of the family's 1533-position model. The record is from RNAcentral.